This 253-nucleotide ribosomal RNA is filed under the name uncultured bacterium. RNAcentral describes it as "partial 16S ribosomal RNA". It matches the Rfam family "Bacterial small subunit ribosomal RNA", at positions 524 to 776 of the family's 1533-position model. The record is from RNAcentral.
UACAGAGGUGGCAAGCGUUGUUCGGAUUCAUUGGGCGUAAAGGGUGCGUAGGUGGCGCGCUAAGUCAGGUGUGAAAUCUCGGGGCUUAACUCCGAAACUGCAUUUGAUACUGGCGUGCUUGAGGACUGGAGAGGAGACUGGAAUUUACGGUGUAGCAGUGAAAUGCGUAGAGAUCGUAAGGAAGACCAGUGGCGAAGGCGGGUCUCUGGACAGUUCCUGACACUGAGGCACGAAGGCCAGGGGAGCAAACGGG